GACGAACGCUGGCGGCGUGCUUAACACAUGCAAGUCGAGCGAACGGACCCUGCGUUUGUUGGUUGCUCGAUUGGCGAACGGGUGAGUGACACAUGAGUAACCUUCCCUUGUCUUUCUGGUAACUUCAGGGAACUCGGGCUAAUACCGCGUAGAAUCUCCUGCUGCGUGGGGUGCGUAGGUGAGUGUCGGCGGUGGUGGAUGUACUGGCGGCUUAUGAGCUGGUUGGUGGAGUAGGUGCGUACCAAGGCUUUGACGGGUAGCCGGCCUGAGAGGGUGAACGGCCACCUUGGGACUGCGAUACGCAGCAGAAUCGUACGGGAGGCAGUAGUCGGGAACAUUGCACAAUGGGCGGAAGCGUGAUGUAGCAACGCCGCGUGCGGGAUGCUGGGUUUCGGGUUGUAAACCGAUUUCGCCUGUGAUGAAGAGUGCGUGACGGUACUGGGUAAAGAAGCCCCGGCUAACUACGUG
This 468-nucleotide ribosomal RNA is filed under the name uncultured bacterium. RNAcentral's name for it is "partial 16S ribosomal RNA". It matches the Rfam family "Bacterial small subunit ribosomal RNA", at positions 28 to 507 of the family's 1533-position model. The record is from RNAcentral.